RNAcentral lists this long non-coding RNA (22905 nucleotides) under Nicotiana benthamiana. Its description in RNAcentral is "long non-coding RNA (NBEN_LNC035185)". The record is from RNAcentral. Lineage: Eukaryota; Viridiplantae; Streptophyta; Magnoliopsida; Solanales; Solanaceae.
GACGUCCCCAGUGUGUACAAGCAAAGGUGAAAAAAUUGCUCUUAGCCGGAGAAUUGAAAAGCACUGGCGUCUUAUUGGUUGGGGCCAAAUCCAAGCUGGUAUUACUCUUGACGUUCCACCGUGCCCCGUCUAAGCGAGUCGGAUUACACAAUCAAUUACUAAAAGGACAGAUCAAGUAGUGAAACAACAUAAGACAGUAUUAGAUGAGUCGGGUUACACAAUCAAUUACUAAAAGGACAGAUAAAGUAGUGAAACAACAUAAGACGGUAUUAGAUGUGGGAAGGCAGGCAGUUGCUGGAAAUGAUCUUUGCCAGGUGGAGAAAACAUUAUUUUGAAUUUCGAUGCUUUAUAAUCUGCGAUAUUUUACAUUUCCUACUGAUGACAUGUUUCUUUCCCCCUCUUUUUCAUGCCUUGUUCGAGUGGUUGUACCUUGUAAUUCAUUAGGCCGGGUUGAUAGUAAAAUGUGUUCUAUUGGAGAUAUUGAGCUUGCGGCAGAUUUUGAACCACUUGUAUUGUUUCUUCAAGUUUUUGGACCAAAGUUUUUUUGGAUGUCUGCCACCAAAUGCAGAGACUUGCAUAGGCAAUUUUUGUUUCUGCCAUUGAUUAUAGUACACUUUAAACAUCUUCUUCGUCUACAAAGUACCUAAUUAUUGAGUAGCAGCAAAUUGUCCAUGAAACGGUCGAUCAUUAGCCUUAUCAUAAAAUGUCCUAAAGUUAUUAAUUUGAUAUUUCUUUUGAAUUUUAAGAGUGUCGAUGGUGAUGGUGGUGGUGCUUAGUAUAAUUGGUCGGUAUACGAGUGGACGAUUGCAGAAUAUUGUAGAUCCCCACUAUAAAAACGUAAAAGNNNNNNNNNNNNNNNNNNNNNNNNNNNNNNNNNNNNNNNNNNNNNNNNNNNNNNNNNNNNNNNNNNNNNNNNNNNNNNNNNNNNNNNNNNNNNNNNNNNNNNNNNNNNNNNNNNNNNNNNNNNNNNNNNNNNNNGUUCGGUGCUGGAUGCUGGUUUAAGUUGCUACAAGCUGCUAUAUAAUUGGGAAAUAAUUUCAGUUUCCGUCAACUUAAAUUCACAAAAAAGAAAAGAAAAAAAGCUUGUGCACAAUUACUGUAUUCUUGUGCUUUCGAAGAUUAUAAACAUGUCAUGAAAAGUUCUCAGGAAAUUUUGUGAAUGAAAUUCUCUCAAAGAUCCUGUCAGAUAGAAUGGGGAUGAUUCGACGGAUGGUCUCCAUAGUUAUGUUGGAUCAACACUCUCAGUCAUAGCAAGAUUAAGCUUUUUAACUCUUCAUUCAUUUCUUCUUAUCUUGUUUUUUUUUUCAUUUUAAUUAACAGCUUUGCUAUUCAUACACGUAGAGACAAGUCAUCAGGCCAACGAAUGUGGAGUACAUGCCAUUGGCUCUCGCUCUUUGUCGCUGUGUCUUGCGGUUCAUGGUUUAUCUACGCCCUCCUUUGUAGAGAUCUAUACAUAGAAGUAUACAUCUCCCUCCUUUUCCAGCUUUAACGUAAGCGAAUAAAAGAUCUGGAAAAAUAGGGAGAUAGUACACUUAACAUCUAUGAAUAAAUCCCUUCAAGGAGAGCGCAAGUAAACCAAGAACACAAGAAAGACGAUACAUACUGAGGUCAAAAUUUAAUCAGUAAAAGGACACUAGUUCAAGAAGAAAAAAUAGUUAGAGUGUCGUAUAUUGCGAUAUUUUCUCCACAACCCAAAUAUUUAGAAGCCUCAUUUGUGAAUAAGGACAACAAAGAAUUGAGAAUUUCCAUAUGAUGAUAAACUGAGAUGGAACCGUGGUAUAAGUUUUUGUUGGAGCUUACUUGAAACAGAGAGGAGUCUUCUCUUGUUAUAAAUACCUGGAUGUUAAAGGGAGAGUUCUGACUCUUCUACUAUUUUUUGAGGAGGUCUAUUUGUCAUACCUCCUUUUUGGCUUAUACGUGGUUACCCCGAAAGAUGACACGUGUAUAGUACUUUUUCCAAUUAAAGUGACAUUAUUCGAUAUGAGAUUAAUUAUUUAUUUCAAUAGCCACUUGGGAUAUGUUUGACUUUUGGUGUCCCAAGUCACCGGUUUAUUUUAAAAUCCCAAAUCGAGGAAAUUUCGAUUACCCAAUUGGAGGCUGCGAACAAGAAAUUCUUGAGUAAGGAAUUUUGUUGACCUGAGAGAAAGGUGAUAGGCACCCCCGUGGUUCUAGCAUGGUCGCUCAAACUUAUUAUAAGUGGCUAGAGACUUGAUUUGCUACACCUGUUUAAACCUAUAAUGUAAUUUUAGAUUAUUAACCGCUUUUAGCAUCUUUUAGAAAAUUUGCAAUGUCACUAAAAUACGUCGCGAAUCACGUCACAUAAAUGCGCACGUAAUUUUAGAUAUAUUUUAACUCCAUGGACAUAUGGAUUUGGGUCACAUAAAUGAGAACCCGGAAUUAGGAAGGUAUUUUAUUAAUAACUUCGCGCCUAUAGCAACUACGUCUUCAAAAUUCAUGGGAAGACCGUGAAAUUCGCUAAACGGCCCUUCCUAUUUUUCUAUGUGUUUUAGUGAAUUAAAGAGUCAUCGCAGGGUAUUUGACUGGAUUAACGCGGCUCACUUCAUUUUAUAAGGACAUUCUAAUGCAUACUAAGUUCUCUAUUAUUGCUGGUGUUUAAAUGCACUAAGAAUUUUAUGAAUAGACUGUGUAUUUUGGGAAAAUAAUACUUGCAUCUUAGCCUCAUUCAUGGCUGAUUAUACACAUUGGGUUUCCAAUUUUGACCAGUCUAGGAACACACAUUGUUUAUUCUGCGACUAGCAGCUAUUGGGCCCUGUUCCGGACUGGCUUAGGCCUUUUACUCAGCCCAAAAACAUGUAGUGUUACAAUACCCCUGGUGCAUACUGGGCCUCUCAAUUGGGCCCAGGGUUGAUUUGAACGAAAGAGUCCAUUAUGAACAAUUCUCAAUAAUGUUUCUUUGGCUUGAAAUUAUACACAAAAUUAACUAUCUACACAUUCACAAAGAAGAUACUAACGAUCAUUUUAUAUCAAUUUUUAGCAUUAGAUCUGAAUUAAAUGAUUCAUAUACUCGUUAGUCGGAGUAUAUGAAUCCAGCUUUCAAAAUUCAAUUGUGAUUCUGAUUACGAUCUGAACUAAAUGAUUCAUAUACUCGUCAGUCGGAGUAUACGAACUCAGUUUCAAAAAUUCAAUUGUGAUUCUGAUUACAACAUGUUAAAUAGAUCUGAAACAAAUCGUUGCUAAAUGUACUGAAACUUAAAUGAAUUAAAACGACACAUAAUGUUUGGAUUUUAAGUAAUUACUAAGCUAAAAUUUCCUGAAUCCCUUAUUUCUAAACAAAGCAGGAAAUAAACACCAAAAACAACAACAUCACUAGCUAACCAUACUAUCAGUUAUACAUACUAAAAUAAUAGUUCGAAUGUCCAUAUAUUACAAGAUAAAUCAGUCCCUAAUGUUCAGUUAUUACAAAAUGAACUAGUUCAAACGUUUAAUUACAACAAGGUGAGUGUAUUAAAACUAAACGAGGGGAAAACAGGGUGAGGAUUCAAAACCAAAAAAAGAUAGAAGCAGAUCUCCAUACUUAAGAAUACAUUCUAUUUCAGCUUCAAUACAUCAAUGAACAUCGAAUGUACCUGCAAUUCAGCAAAGAAUGAAAGCCUAUGAGUAAAUGCAAUUAAUCAGCCAAGCAUAACAGUAGCCAAUCAAACAGUACACCUUGGACUUCAGCAGAUUUUUGAGUGAAUUAAAAUCUCAAAAUGAUAAGAACAGCACUGAUCUUUUAUCAAAGAUAUAGGAAGAACUAAUAUGUAUUUUGCUCUUCUAGAAUUCAAAAGAAAAGUUCCGGAUGCCUUCAAAAAAUGCUCAUAUGCUUUCUUUUAUAAUGGAGCCUUUGGGAACCACCUUUUCCCUAGUUUUUCUUUUAGUCCUUGCUUCAUAUUUACACUUUUCCUAAAUGGUCCUUCAUUUCUUGACUUGUGCCUCAAGUUUGAGGCAGAAAUUAUAUUUUUGCCCCUCACUAGAAGGUUUUGGAGGUUAUUAUCAGGUUCUCUUAAAGAUCAAAUACCUCUUAUACCCCCAUUUCUUUCCUAAAUAACAAUUCUGAAAUUUGAACCUCAGUCUAUCAUCUGGUUUGGUUACAAUUGACCCAGGUUAAUUAUGUUCAAGUUUGGGUCACAUUUUAGUCUUGGACUAACAGGCUUAUUAAAGUUCAAAAUUAGCCAAAAUUAGUCAGGUUUUAAAACUAGUGCCUUAAUGUGAUUUUUCAAUAACCAAACAUUAUACAGGAUGAUCAUUCAAAAAACAAUAUCAAUCAGGUUUUAAAACAAGUGCCUUAAUGUGAUUUCUCAAUAACCAAACAUUUUACAAGAUGAUCCUUCAAUAUCAAAAACAAUAAAUUAAAAUGCCCAGAAGAGGGGAACCAUCCCUCAACACUUAACUUGCAGAAAUAAACCAAUUAAAGUAUUCAGAGAUCUUGAAAAUGAAAAGCAUACAGCAGGAAGUGAACACUUAGUUCAUGAAUCUAAUUGGAAAAUUAAGGCUAACAUUAGCAAUUAAAGGUCCAACCAAACAAAUCAGCCUAAAAUAAUACCAGUACUGAAGAUCAAAAUUACUAUGAAAAUCCAACACUUAGUAGCAUGAACAACUAACAAAACUAAAUAAAAAUCACACUACUCAAGAAGCUAAUAUUAACAGGACAUCAAACCGUUCAAGAGACGAAGGGAUUUCAGACUAGUAACUACCAAGGCAUAUAGCAAGUAUAGCUGACUGUUUAGCCUAUUUCAUAUGAGAUUAUGUGAAACAAAUAAUCAUUCAAAACAAAGCAGCUAACAAUUAUAAAAACACAACAAUUAUGCACAGGUGAAGAUAGUGAUUAAAAUACAUGAGGCUUAGCUUUUAUACACAUGCAAAUCCGACUUGGAAUUACUUUAUUGGUUUCAGACCUCUUCUGUAGAGGUUUUUGAACCUUCUAGGGCAAAUGGCAUGGUGGAUAAUAGGUUCAGGAUUUCCGGAAGAACAUUUAUGACUUUGAGACCCCAGUGAAGUCUCAGAUCUGAAUUUCUUUAGUGAUUGGUGUUGUGUGGGGGUUGUGAAAGGUAUGGUUGGGGAAAGCAACAGAUGGGGACUGUCUGAGACGAAUUUGAACAAAUUCCGACAGGGUUGAGUUUUAGGCUUAAACUUCAACUUAAUAUUCGAAGCGUUCUGAAUGGAUUCGAAGGGUGUAACACACAUGGUUGGAAAGAGGAUGAUGAGUUGUUUUAGGGGUGUGAUUUUGGAGGGGUUUGGAAUUGAAUCGUCGGAGAUGGAGGUUCUGACGACCUUUCUGUGAAGAUUUUAGAUGAUGGGGGGUCAUUUGAAGGGAAAGGGCUGCAGGAUGGGGAGGUUUGGGACAAGGUCACCGGAGACGGUGGUUCCAGAGACUUUUAUUUUGAAUAUUCUAGAAGCUAGGGCCUUAUUUGAUGAAAACUAAACACAGGACGGAAAAGAGCAGGUUGUGAUGGUUUGAGGUGUAAAUCUGGGGACGUUUGGUGACCAGCCGCCUUCGUGAGGUGAUUUUCGGCGGCGGCGUUAGGGUGGUAGACUAGUGGUCAAUGGGUGGUCAAGGGCGGCCAGGGGUGGUCAAGGGGUGGCCAAGGGUGGUGUUACAGUGGAGUAGAUUGUAAGAUGAAGAAUGGAAUUGUGUCUCUAAGUGUAUUAGGAGUAUUUUGACAUAUAUGUAUUAUUUUGGUUGGGUUUCCAUGGCCGUUGGAUGAUUAAUUGGUCAACGGCUGGGAUGCCUUAUUUCCAAACUACGUCGUUUUGGGGUUGGUUUUGUGUGGACCGGAUCAGGGUUGGUUGUUUGGGCUGGGUCUGUGGUUUUUUAAUGGGUCAAAAUAUUUGGGCCACUGAGGUUUGGCCAAUUGUGGAAAGCCUGAGUGGCUAUGCCUACAUGUAUAUAUUUUGUCUUUUUUCUUUUUAUUUUAAUUAACAAGGAUUUCUAAUUAACACAAAUAAAAUGCAACAAGUUGAAAUUAAACCAACAAAAAUAAUUAAAAAUGCCAGAAUUAUUAUAUAUAUAUAUAUAUCUAUAUAUAUAUAUAUUAUUGUUUAAAUGUAUUAAAUGUAUAUAGGUUAUAUGUAAUAGAGAUAUAUAUGUAUAUAUGUGUAUAUAUAUAUACAUACAUAUAUAUAUAUCUCUAUUAUAUGUUGUUGUUUAACAUGCAUUAGUGAACAUGCACUGGCAUACGAUUAAAUUCUAAUAAAUCCUAAAAAUAAAUAUUUAAAGAAAAUCCUAAAUUUUGAGAGUCGUGUAGGAGCCGUUUCAACAGGGUAAAAAUCAUAUGCUCACAGUUGCCCUUCUUUGCGCCGGAACAUGAAGAGUUUUCGUGCAAAGACAAGUGAGCAAAUAUGAGCGAUUUUUGUCCGAUUGAAUACUCCAUGUGAAGCAUUUUGAAAAAUUUGUUGCUUCAAAGGUUGCCUACAUAUCCUUGGCGAUAAAGGAAUCAGGUCAAUGUAGUUCUUGAAGUUUUGGUAGCUGGGACUACCUGGAAACUGUGAUUGGCUACCGUUGAUGCUGUUUCUGCUUGCUGAGCUCCUUAUUACACCAAAGGAAAACCAAAAACUAAGCUAGCUAAACCUAUCAACUACAAGUUACAAGAUUCCUAUCUAUGGUUCUCUUGAAGCUUGAUCUUGAGUCUUGGAUAUCUUUUGCGGCAGACUCUGAUCUGAAUCUUGAUGCUCAUUAGCUGCAACUGGUGACUCAGUCCUCAAUAAAGCGGGACGUGCAGAGCUUGUGACUUCAAAUAUAUUUUGAGCAGUCCGUGUCUUUGUCCGCUUCAUCAUUUUGAGUUCACUUCUUUUAUCCUUUUCCUUUUCUUUUGUUCUAAAUUAACACUCAUGCUUUCAGUCAUUCCGAAUCUUGUGAAGCCUGCUCUGACAGCAACAAAAACAAACGAACAAAAUUUUAUUGCCCCAGUUUUUACUGGAAAAUUUCGUGAGUUAUUUGCAACACACAUAUAUGCUACUCUUUAUUGAAAACAAUAAAAAUUGAAAUUAUGUAUCCAUUAGAAACAUUUCCAGGUUAUGCUGGGAAAGAGAAAGGGUUCCUACUUGGGAUAAGAUGAGAAUCCAGGGGUUAUGCAAGGAUAGGAAUGAAAAGAGUCUCUGUGGGGAUGGAAAGAAAAGAUCCGCGGGUUAUGCCAGGAUAGGAAAGUUCCUGCUAAGGAUGGAAGAAUAGUCAUGGGUUAUAAAGAAAUUCCUGGGUUAUGCCAGGGGAUCCACGGGUUGUGCCGGGAUGAAUGAAAAAAUUCAUACGUUAUGCUAGGGAAGUCCAUGGGUUAUGCCGGGAUUGGAAAGAGAUCCCGUGUUAUGCCAGGGGAAUCUGCGGGUUAUGCCGGGAUGAAUGAAAAAUCCUAGGUUAUACUAGGGAGAUCCACGGGUUAUGCUGGGAUGAAAGGGGAUCCUGGGUUAUGCACGGGGAAUCUUUGGGUUAUGCCGGGACGAAUGAAAAAUUCCUAAGUUAUGCUAGGGAGAUCCAUGGGUUAUGCUGUGAUUGGAAGGAGAUCCUGGGUUAUGCCAAGGGAAUCCGCGGGUUAUGCAUGGAUGAAUGAAAAUAUCCUAGGUUAUGCUAGGGAGAUCCACAUGUUAUGCCGGGAUUGGAAGGAGAUCCUGGGUUAUGCCAGGGGAAUCCACGGGUUAUGCCGGGAUUUUAAGGGGAUCCUGGGUUAUGCCAGGGGAAUCCGCGCGUUAUGCUGGGAUGAAUUAAAAUAUCCUAGGUUAUGCUAGGGAGAUCCGCGGGUUAUGCCGGGGUGAAUGAGAAAUCCUUGGUUAUGCUAGGGAAAUCUGCAGGUUAUACCGGGAUAAAUGAGAACAUCCUAGGUUAUGCUAGGGAGAUCCACGUGUUAUGCCAGGAUGAAUAAGAAAAUCCUAGGUUAUGCCAGGGAGAUGCACGGGUUAUGCCGGGAUGAAUGAGAAAAUCCUAGGUUAUGCUAGGGAUAUCCACGGGGUAUGCCAGGAUGAAUGAAAAAUCCUAGGUCAUGCUAGGGAGAUCCGCGGGUUAUGCCGGGAUGAAUGAGAAAAUCAUAGGUUAUGCUAGGGAGAUCCGCGGGUUAUGCCGGGAUGAAUGAAAAAUCCUAGGUUAUGCUAGGGAGAUCCGUGGGUUAUACAGUGAUGGAUGAGAAAAUCCUAGGUUAUGCUAGGGAGAUCCGUGGGGUUAUGCUGGGAUGAAUGAAAAAAUCCUAGGUUAUGCUAGGGAAAUCCACGGGUUAUGCCGGGAUGAACGGAAAACUCCUAGGUUAUGCUAGGGAAAUCCACGGGUUAUUUCGGGAUGAAUGAAAAAAUCCUAGGUUAUGGUAGGGAAUUCCAGGGGUUAUGCUGGGAUGAAUGAAAAAUCCUACGUUAUGCUAGGGAAUUCCACGGGUUAUACCGGAAUGAAUGAAAAAUCCUAGGUUAUGCUAGGGGAAAGCAAUGCAGUGGAGGACCACAGAGAUCCUUUUGACUAUACUGGGGAUGGAGGAGGAAAGGAUCAACCCUUAGAUUAUGCUAAAGGUAGAGGAGCGUUAACUCCUAGACUAUGAUGGGGAGUAGAAAGUGUAGGGAGGGAAUCCUCAGGUUAUGUUGGGGAUGUGGAGGGAAACUUCCUGAUCAAUGCUGGAGGGGGUGGAAUGCAAUCCUCGGGUCAUGCCUAGGAAAAUCCACAAGCUGCAUAAGGGGAAACUAAGGAUUUGAAUCCCGUGCUAUCAUGCUUAUUUACGAAUUUGCAAGAAAAUGAAAGAAAACUUCCAUUUGGUUAUUGACGCAACACCAUACUUGGUUUCUUGUGCCCGUCUUUUGGUGGUUUUUUCCCUAUAUUCCUUUUGCUUUUCUAGGUUGCACCUGCAUCUAUUUUAGUUCAGAAACAAAACAAAAUGUUAGUUUGAACAGUGAUUGAUUUUGCGUCCUUGUCACGCUUGAUUUUAACUUCCUUUGCGUUCAAAAGCCAACCCUUGACUUUCAAUCCUUGCUUUGUUGAUUGGUCAGGGGGUCCUCAUUUCGAAUUGGUCAUUGUUUCUCGAUCCCUGGGUUGUAAGUUUUGUCCCGACUUGGAUUUUAGGCUUACUUCGGGAGACCCUGUCAUGCCUAAAACACUCUGAUUUUGCUUCAUCUUCAUAGGAUUGGUCUUUGUCUCUCGGGCCUUGGGUUAUGAGUUUUGUCCCGCCUUUGGUUUUUGGGCUUGUUUUUGAGAAUUUUGAUAAGAAUCAACAUCCUGUUUGGCUUAAAACCCCUCCGAUUUUGCUUCAACUUCAUACCUCUUUGACAUUGAAUUUCCGUUCUUUUAUUUUUUAACCUUUGAGACAUUAACUGUCAUGAUCAAACGGGAUUGGCUAUGUGCGCUUGACGAUGUCGGGCAUUCCCUUAGUUCUUGCCAGGAGAAAACCGCGAAGCCGACCCUGCUACCUUUCAUAAGGAAUGAUCAGGACAUCAAAAUUAAAGUGGGAAGGAGUGAACAAUGAAUUUAGAGAGGUAUGUUCUUUUGAAGGAAAAGAGGGAACUCAUAUGGAAAUAUAAGCCGGCUUUAAAUGGCGGUGACAUGAUUCUUGGAAUGGAUACCCUGCCCAAAUCCAUUUCUGCUUUCUGGCUUCAACUUUUCCGAAAACCAAAGAAACUUACUCAGAGCUGGGCAGCAACAUUUCCUCUUUUCGGCAGACGGCGCCCUUUUCAGGAUUUCGCCAAUCGGCCUCUCUCAUUUCUGUUCUCUCGUCACCCAAUAGAGCUCUUUGCGAGUUUUUGCUAAACGGACUCUCCCAUUUUGUUUUUCUAUGCUCACCGUCGCCUUACGGUGCCCGGAGGUUUUCACCGAUAAUACUUUCCCAUUUUAUUUCUCCCAAACAUUUGAUUGGUGUCGAAUCCCAACAACGGUAUUUUUCCCCCCCGUGGAUCUAUAACUUUAUGACCAUUCAGAUAGAUUGGUAACCGAACCAAUGCAUUUCUGGCCAGUUUUUGAUUUUUGUGGGUGAAUGGGGUUUUAUUUUGAUAUGACUGAACCUCAGGGAGAGGCUGCCUACGUAUCCUUUCGGAAUCAAGUAAGACGUAUUUCAGGAAGUAUUUCCUAAACUAAUUGUGUUUUGUUAUUUCUCUCUUUUUUCAUUUUGUCAUUUUUCUUUUGAUUUCUUUUUUUUUCUUUUUUCUUUUUGUUUUCUCUUCUUUUUUUUUUUUGUUUUUUCCUUUCUUCUCAUUUUUUAUAACAACAUUUCUGGUUUACAAAGAGGGUGGGGGUAGCGGGAAGGCAAAUCCUUCGUCCUUUCUAUCCACAGGGGUCAUUGCUACAAGGGAUUCAAACAUAAUACCUUUUUGCUGCGUCGGCAUUUACCGCUGCCUCGCGUUUGUCUCCUUCAACAUCGCCCAGGUACAAAUAUCUUCCUGAUGAUGUACAUGCCUUUCCAAUUUGGAGAGAAUUUUCCUUUGGCUUCCUGAUGAUGAGGAAGUAUCCGUCUCAAAACCAACUGCCCGACUUCGAAGUUCCUGGGGCGCACUUUCUUGUUGUAAGCAUGGGCCAUUCUUUGGUUGUACAACUGCCCGUGACAUACCACGGCCAUUCGUUUUUUAUCAAUUAAUUCCAUCUGCUCCAACCAGGAUAGGGCGCACUUUCUUGUUGUAAGAACGGGCCAUUCUUUGUUGGUACAAUUGCCCGUGGCAUACCGCGACCAUUUGUUUUUCAUCAAUUAAUCCCAGCUGCUGCAAUCGGGUUUUGACCCAUUCACUAUCUUCGAUUUCUGCUUUGACAAUCACUCAGAGUGAAGGGAUUUCUACCUCUACGGGUAUGAUGGUCUCAGUUCCAUAAACUAGCAAAUAGGGGGUUUCUCCUACCGAUGUACGUACUGUGGUGCGAUAUACCAUCAGUGCAAAAUGCAUCUUUUUGUGCCAUUGACUGGAGCUUUGAAUCAUUUUCCUCAAGAUCUUCUUAAUGUUUUUGUUGGCUACUUCGACCGUACAUUAGCUUUGGGCCGAUAAGGGGUGGAGUUUCUAUGCGUUAUCUUGAACUGUUCACAUAUCUCUCCCAUCAGCCGACUGUUUAGAUUUUUCGCGUUGUCGGUAAUAAUGGUAGUAAGAAUCCCAAAGCGGCAAAUGAUGUUGGAAUGCACAUAAUCCACUACCGCUUUCUUGGUAACAGACUUGAGGGUGAUGGCCUCAACCUACUUUGUGAAGUAAUCAAUGGUGACCAAUAUAAAUUUGUGCCCAUUUGAGGCUUUGGCUCGAUCGGCCCAAUGACGUCCAUACCGCAGGCGGCAAAUGGCGGGUGUUGACAUAGGAUGCGGUUCAUUUGGUGGUGCAUGAAUCAAAUAACUGUGCACCUGGCAUUGAUGACAUUUUCGGACGAAGCUAAAACAAUCUUUCUCCAUGGUCAUCCAAUAAUAGCCAGCUCGGAGUAUUUUCUUUGCUAGUACAUAGCCGUUCAUAUGGGGACCACACAUGCCCGCAUGUACUUCGUGCAUAAUUCUCCCGGCUUCUUUUGCAUCCACACAUCUCAACAAAUUAAGAUCCGGUGUUCUUUUAUACAAAGUGUCACCACUUAAGAAGAAAUUACUUGCAUGCCGUCAAAUGGUUUUCUUUUGUUCUCCAGUGGCUUGCUCAGGGUAUUCCAGUGUUCUUAGGAAUUUCAAGAUAUCGUGGUACCAAGGUUGUGUGUUGGGCUCUGCUUCGGUUGCAUUGCGAUACCCAUGCCUUUCUUUAAUUUGGAUUUGUAAAGGAUCAACAUAGGCGUUCCCAGGGUAUGGUAAAUGGAGGCCAAGGUUGCAAGUGCGUAUGCUUACUCAUUGUGGAGACGGGGAAUGUACCUGAACUGUACUGAUCUAAACUCUUUGCUGAGGUCUUCCACAUGCUGCCUGUACAGAAGGAGCUUAACAUCCCUUGUCUCCUAUUCUCCUUGAGCUUGUCGGAUGAUUAUAUAAGAAUCUCCCAUGAUUAGCAACUCUUUGACAUUUUGGUUAAUAGCCAUGCUCAUGCCCAUAAUGCAAGCCUCAUAUUCAGAUGUAUUAUUGGUGUAGAAGAACUAGAGUCUGGCUGUAGCUGGAUAAUGCUGGCCUGCGGUGAGAUAAAAAUUGCCCCAAUCCCUACGCCCUUUGCGUUUGCCGCUCCGUCGAAGAACAUUUUCCAGACGGGGGUGUCCUCAGCUGCUAUUUCCAAUGAGUUCACUUCUUCGUCAGGGAAGUAAGUGUUUAGUGGCUGAUAUUCGUCAUCAACGAGGUUCUCUUCCAGAUGAUCUGCUAAUGCCUGAGCUUUCAUCCCAGUACGAGUGACAUAUACAAUGUCGAACUCGGUGAGUAAGAUCUGCCAUUUGGCCAGUCAUCCUGUGGGCAUUGGUUUUUGGAAUAUGUACCUUAGUGGAUCCAACCUGGUUAUGAGGUACGUGNNNNNNNNNNNNNNNNNNNNNNNNNNNNNNNNNNNNNNNNNNNNNNNNNNNNNNNNNNNNNNNNNNNNNNNNNNNNNNNNNNNNNNNNNNNNNNNNNNNNNNNNNNNNNNNNNNNUAGGAGUUUUGAAUGUAAAGGAUAUGAGGUACGUGGUAUGGCAUUGCAGAUAAUGCCUUAGCUUUUGAGCUACCCACGUCAAGGCGCAACACGUUCUUUCUAACAAUGUGUACUUGGACUCGUAGCUGGUAAACUUUUUUCUCAGAUAAUAAAUGGCCCGCUCUUUCUUUCCCGUAGCGUCAUGCUGCCCGAGAAUACAAUCGAAAGAGCCUUCCAAGACCGUCAGAUAGAGAAACAGUGGCCUUCCUGGUUCUGGUGGAACUAAAACUGGUGGAUUGGAUAAGUAUUGUUUCAUUCUAUCAAAAUCUUCCUGACACUCGACUGUCUUAACUGCCGCAUCUUUCUUUAGUAACUUGAAUAUAGACUCACAUGUUGAAGUCAACUGGGCAAUGAACCGACUGAUGUAAUUCAAUCUUUCCAAUAGACUCAUUACACCCUUUUUGGUCUUUGGAGGGGGCAGCUCCCGAAUGGAUUUGAUCUUGGUUGGAUCCAAUUCGAUGCCUCUUCGGCUGACAAUGAACCCCAGAAGUUUGCCCGAUGGGACUCCAAAUGCGCAUUUUGCAGGAUUUAGUUUCAAAUUAUAUUUGCGGAGCCUUUCAAAGAAUUUUCUCACAUCCUUUACAUGAUCGCCCUGAGUCUUGGAUUUGAUAAUCACGUCAUCCACGUAGACCUCUAUUUCUUGAUGCAUCAUACCAUGGAAGAUGGUGGUCAUAGCCUUCAUGUAUGUUUCCCCAGCAUUUUUCUAUCCAAAAGGCAUAACUCUAUAGCAAUACGUUCCGCAAGGUGUGGUAAAGGCGGUUUUCUCAGCAUCUUUCUCAUCCAUCAACACUUUGUGGUAUCCUGCAUAGCAAUCUACGAAGGAUUGGAUCUCAUGCUUGGCACAAUUAUCGACAAGGAUGUGGAUGUUAGGCAGUGGGAAGUUGUCCUUAGGACUCGCCUUGUUCAAAUCUCUAUAAUCCACACACACCCGAGUUUUCCCGUACUUCUUUGGCAUCGAGACCACAUUGGCCAGCCAUGUGGUGUACCGCAUUACCCGGAUUACCCCAGCUUCAAGCUGUUUUGUAAUCUCCUCUUUGAUUUUGUCGUUGACAUCAGGAUUGAACUUUCUUUGCUUUUGUUGGACUGAAGGGCAUUCGGGGUAUAUAGUCAACUUAUAAACCACCAAAUCCAUAAUCAAACCAGGCAUGUCGUCGUAGGACAAUGCAAAUACAUCUUUGAAUUCCAACAGGAGUUGAACUAAUGAAUUCCGUAUUUCUUUAUUUACGUGGAUGCUUAUUUUAGUCUCUUUGAGUUAAUUGAGAUUGCACAGGUUAAUCGGUUAAGUAUCAUUUAAGUUAGUCUUAGGUUUGUUUUUGAAGAUUUCCAACUCUCGUUGAUUUCCCUAAAAGCCUCUUCUUCAUCGUAUUCCGGUUCCUGAUUUAUCAUUUCACAGAUGGGCAGCGAGUUUGGGUCGUGGCAUGAAGUCCUCGAGCAUGUUGUUUUAUUUAAAGCUGCAUUAUUGGGACUGAAAGAAAAGAUGAAAAUAAAGAAAGACAAAAAUUAGAGAAAGACAAAGAGGUGUGAUGACAAAAUAUUAAUUUUAUUGCUUUGAACUUAUAAGAUAAUAGGGUUUACAAUUGAGAUUCAAAGUGCUAAAAGGAAAACAAAACACCAAGCUACACAUGGUUGGACCAUGUUUACUUCGUAGAGCAACUCUCUCAUAGCCCGACAUAUCUCAUCAAUUUCUUCUGUCGUGAAGGUUUCUUCUUCCUCCUCCUCAUUGUACUUUGGUUUUAUAAAGGUUUUGUAUAAGUGAGGUAGGGGUUGUGGUAAGGCCCAUCCCUGGCGCUUUCUGCAAUUAGCCUAGAUGAUAUCUUCUGAGGUUGGAUGAAAGCCCAGUCCAAAGAACUUUUCUGUGGCAGGCAAGGCGACCGGAUCGGUUAUGCCUUGUAGGGAGCUUCCGAGUCCCUUGCGUGGCUUGAAACCUUAGCGCGUCAUUUCCUUUGCUACCAUAAUUGAAGCAUUUGACAGGAAAGGAUGGGGGAGCGGCUUGCCCUCUUCAUUCUGAUCAGUUACUACGACUUCAAAAUCCUGAUAGAUUAUGUGUUCACUCCGUAUCUUGGCUUCUAGACAGGGAACAGAGGGGUCCCGGUUAAUCGAUUGUUCGUCCUCUCCAUGAACUAUAAUCUCCUGAUUUUCAUGCUCAAAUUGCAGUAUUUGGUGCAGGGUCGAAGGCACUGCCCCUACUGCAUGAAUCCACGGCCUUCCUAGGAGGUAGUUGUAGGAGGCGUCCAUGUCCAACACCUGGAAUGUUACUUCGAAGUCGACUGGACCAAUGGUGACCACCAAAUCAAUUUCUCCUAUGCUAUCCCUUUUGAUUCCAUCGAAGGCUCGGACACAUACAUUGUAAGGACAGAUCCUCCCUUUCAAAUUCUCCAUUCUCUGCAAGGUAUAUAGUGGGCAUAUGUAUACUCCGGAACCUCCAUCGACCAUCACUCUUUUGACGUAAUCCCUUACGCUUGAUAAUGAGGUGAAAAGCCUUGUUGUGAGCAGCUCCCUCCGGUGGUAAGUCACUCUUAUGAACGAUAAAUGGUUAAUAGCGAAGAAUCUCUCUGCCAUUUUCUCUAGUUGCUCUACAGAGGUCUCAGCUGGUACAUAAGCUUCGUUCAGAGUUUUGGCCAACACUUGUUAAUGCUCAGGAGAUUUCAUAAAGAGUGACAAUAGAGAAAUCUGCUCAGGGGAUUCUCGGAGUUGAUCCACCACUUCGUACUCCGGCUUUUUUAUUUUCUGGAAGAAAUCUUCUGCCUCCUCAGCAUUCACUGGCCUCUUUGGCGGAAAUCGCUGUUUGGUAGCGGCGUUCACCUCUUCCAUGUCUGAGUAUUUCUUUGUGGGACAACCCUUUUGGGCUUCUCCGAGGACUUCUUUGCCCUUGUAUGUAACGAUGGUUUCCUGAUAAUGCGACUGAGGGGUUAGUCAUGGGCUUCUAUGGCGCGCGAUCGAUAACCACGAGCUCAUUCAGCACCGGUGGUUUAAUCGAUCCCCGUACCACAUAGGCUUUCUUGGGUACAUACAUGGUUUGUUCAGCUCUAACCUUUUUGGAGGGCUUAAUAUGGGCUGCUUCUAUUUCCGUCUUUGUGGGAUGUGGAGUAUUGUUUCCUUGGUAGGGGUCGUCUCAGUUUUGACCUCAACCUUCUUUUCUGCUUUAGGGCAUUUAACUUCUAUCAUUUUCCUUUCUUCUAUCUUCUUUGGGGUGUCUUUUUGUUUUCUAUCUGCUUCGGCGAUGGCUAUGAUGGCUUUCACAGAGGGAUCAAAUUCUUUGCCCUCGCAGAUCAUUCCGAUGAUCGGCCCAUCAUUGUGAGCCAUUAACGGUUUAUCAGUUACAUUUGGGACCUCUUCAUCUCUUAGUACUAUCUUCUUUUGAUCAAUCAAGUUCUCCACUGCUCGUUUUAAGGUCCAACAAUUUUCGGUAUCAUGACCCUCUGCCCAAGAGUGGCAAGCACAACGCACACCCUUUGCUAAGAAGGUGAUUCAGGAUUCUAUCUGUUUGGGGUACAGGCUGGAAGACCCAUGUGGACUAGUCUUGGGAAGAGGCUAGCGUAGGAAUCUCCUAUUGGGGUGAAGUUCUAUCUCCUGGGUGGCUCCUGGGGACGAUAAUUAUUUUGGUGAGGGAGGGGAUUGUAAUGAUUCUGAGGAAGUUGAUUUCUUGGAGCUUGAUUUCUAUUGUUCUUCUAUUGAGGUCGGGCAAAGGGAUGAGCGUUCAUAACUGCGUAGGGUUGAGGGACAUUGUGCAUGUCUUGGUGUGGAUAUUAAUGUCGAGGCACUCUUUCAGAGAAUGCAUGCCUGUGAGUGUGCUGUUUUCUCAUCCCGGAGGCUGCCAUGGAUGCUUCCUCUUUCUUCUUGUUCCUUGGAAUUCCUCCCGCCCCUCCUUGUAUGGCCUGGGAAGUGGCUCUUAUGGCGGAUUUUCUUAGAAUCCUCCCUGUUUUGAGGCUAUUCUCUACCAUCUCCCCAAUCUUUAUUGCUUCUGCGAAUGGUUUUCCCAUUGCAGACAUCAUGUUCUGAAAAUAGUCUGCCUCUUGUGCUUGCAGAUAGACAAUGACCAUAUCAGGUUUGUUCAUCGGAGGCUUUAAUCUCGAGGCUUGCUCUCUCCAUUUAAUAGCAUAUUCUCUGAAGCUUUUAGCAGGUUCUUCUUCAUGUUGGCUAGGGAAUUCCUAUCCGGGGCGAUGUCGAUGUUAUACUGGAAUUUUCUUACAAAGUCUCGGGCGAGGUCAUCCCAUAUGUGCCAUCGGGUAAUGUCUUGAUCUUGUACCAUUCGGAUGCAAUACCCACUAACAAAUUACGCCAUCAAGAGUUCUUCCUUACCGCUGGCUCAACGUAGUUGAUUGCCGUACUGUUUCAAAUAGGCGAUGGAGUCGCCGUGGCCAUCGUAUUUUUCGAAUUUCGGCAUUUUAAACCCCAAAGGAAGAUGUACAUAGGGGAACAUGCACACGUCUGAAUAAGCUACACUUUUCUGUCCACUUAGUCCUUAAUUUUCUUCAGGCUUUGCUCAAGACUCUUCAUUCUCCUUGUGAUUUCAUCCUGCUCGGGAAGUUUUAUCUUGCACAGGGGUAAGCUCAUAUGCUGGCUGAGGGUAGUUGUAUGUGGGGUACGGGAGAGGCUCAUUUUGGUAGUUAGGAGUUUUGAAUGUAAAGACUGUAGGGUCAAACACGGGCCUUGGUAAGCAGGCUGUGCGGUAGCUGCACAUAGAGGGGCCGUAAAAAUGUUGAGAACUGGCCUGGAUGCAAACAUUGGAGGGUGGGUUUCAGAAGGCGCCCAAACAAAAUUGGUUGAUAUGGUAGGCUGCCCCAGGAGAAUGUUUGUGUGACUGAUAGGGAUGGUGGAGGUACCCCCUGACCUUGGAAAUAGCUCAGGAAAUCCAGGGAUAGCGUUGGGAGGUUCUUUCCCAUUGGUCCAGACAUCCCACAUUUCCAUGACUUGGAGCCGCAGGAUCCUGUUCUCUUCAUUCGCUGCAGAUUCAGAGGUUGGUAUUCCUGUAAUUGGGUUGUCCUCUGGAAUAGGGACGGCUGGUUGAGUCAUUUCAGUCGACAUCUCUAUAUUUCCUUUUGACCGAGUGAGGUAUCCGUGUGAAGCCAGUUUAUCGUAAAACCAUCCAAUGUUCUAAACACAUGUACUGGGACACUGUAAAUGCAGUUAGUUUGGGGUAGAUAUCAAACAGGAAAUCACACGUUGGCAUGAUGCACCUAUGCAGAUAAUGGGUUUCUAUAUGCUUGCCAUAGUCGCAUGUGUCAUCCCGUCAUUUAUUUCAACUUCCUUUUUGUUUCAUGCCUCUUAUUCCUCUCUUUUUUUCUUUUUUUAAAAAGAAUAUGGUCGAAUCUAUAUAGAUUGCCUACGUAUCAUGACUUUGCAUGAAUCAGACGGAGCGUAGUUCAUGGAAACAAAAGGUUAAGUGCACAGUAAAAUGUUUUUUGGGAUUUUCAAUUUUGAUAAAAUAUAAACUUUGACUAGAAGGACGAAAAGCAACUACCCUACUGGGACUUAAAACCUUUAUAGAAUUGAAAGGACAUACAGACAGACUCUUUCUUCAGAAAAAUACAAAUUUACGAGUACAUUAAAACUUCAAAUGCUUUUGGAGCUUGCGGGGCAUCGUUCGGCCUUGUCGCAGGUUUGCACGCUAGACUUCCCUGGAGAUUGUGGAGAUCUUCCAUCACUUGAAGGACAAAUGUCAUAGCAGUGGCAAAAAACAUGGAUUUUGUCAUGUUCUCACAGUGAUUGCACUUCGUGGUAAUAUAGUCUGCAAUUGCCCGCACAUUUUCUCUGGUAACCCCUUUUUCUUAUAACAGACGCCCUACUUGCUCAGCCCGUGCUUCUAAAGUUCAUUUAGCUUCCUGAUUCAGCUUUUGAAACUGCCUCAAAUCUCUUUCCAACCCCGCUAUUACCGUAUAGCAAUGUUCUCUCUCGUCUUUGACAUCCUUGGCUUGUUUGGCCAUUUUGUUUUCAGCUAUGACAACCCUCUGUUUUAACCCAACGCUUUCGUUUCUUUUUACUGCUCUAGUAUGCGAGCCCUUUCUUCUCCGCUUUUAACUAAUUAUUUUCGGGCUCUAGAAAAUUCACCUUCUGCCUUAUUCAGGUCGAAACCAUAUUCAGUUACUUUUCGACGCAGGUUCUCUAUGAGAUUUUCCUUCUUUUGUACUCCUUGGAGGCUUUUCUGUGGCUGUUUUCAUUUUCUGAAUUUGGGCUAGCAAGGCUUCGUUUUCUUUAACCAAUACCUUUUUUUCUCCCUCCCUGGCUAUGGAUUGUGGACUGUUUUCGAAUUGCUAUUCUUGAAUUUUCUUUUCCAGCCUUCCUAUAGUAGCCCGGUAUUCAUUUUCUCUUGCCAAUCAAUCCCACUACUCUUUUGAAGUCUCGGUAAAUUCCUGGAGAUGAGGUCUUUUUGCCGGCCUCCUAGGCUCUAUAUCCCUAUUGUACCAAGUAACUUACCCCGGUGCAACCUCACCCUUAGAUACGUCACGUACUCUAGUGUCAGCUAUCAAAUAUUGGCAUUCGCUCCAAAUUUGCCGUACCACAGCUUUGGGGAGUUGACCAUUCGGGCUUAUCUCAACUGCAUGGCGGCUGAUAUCCUCGUCUUUGGGAAUUAUUUGGCAUCUUCCCAAUUGCCUGAUACUCUAUAUGGUGCAUAGGGUUGGAUGCUUCAGAUGUCCAUCAAAAGGAAAUGAGGUCCAGUGGCAGGAAUAUUCACAAUAUCGUCCAUAGAGAGCCAACUUAAUGUCCAUUCUAUUUGAUUUGUAGAAAUAACCCCGAGAUGCGACACCCACUCUGCGACACCCUCUUGUAGUUUAAACCUAUUCACCCUAUUGUCAAAUUCUUUUAUGCAACCUUUUGUUGGCAGCCCAUAAUUUGUGAACUGAGGCCUGUGACAUAAAUACUCAAUAAGCCAGAUUUGUAGCAGCAGGUUACAACCUUCAAAGAAAUCCCCUCCUGCUUUACAGAUGGUAAAGGCUCGGAAGAUGUCAGACAUGAUCAUUGGAGCAAGAGUACUUUUUGCCUGGGUCAUCAAAGCAGUAACGACCCCUGCUAUCCGUAUGUUGAUGUUUUCGUCCUUUCGCGGGAAUACUAAAUGACCCGAGAAAGACACCAUGAACGCGAAGCAUCGAUGCUUCUCCCACUUGAGCCGAUUACCCUUGCUACAAAUCAGAUUUUAAGGUCUGUAGAAUCCUCCGAUGUGGUCGUAUCUUUGGUAUAUAAACGGGAGUGUGCAAAAGCCAGCCGAUAAGUCGGUAUUGUGAAUUUUUCUGCUGAUUUUAAUGGUAUCCAGGAAUUUAUGCACAACGAAGGCUCUAGGUGCAAUCAUGUAUUGAUGUCUCAACGGGAUUGUAUGGGUCCCGAUAUAUCUAGUCAUUUCUUAUAAAUUCGGGGUUAGCUCAAAAUCCGAGAAGUGGAAGACGUUGUGGGCCGGGUCCCAGAAGGUGAUUAGGGCCUUUAUGAUAUCUCCCCUAGGAUUGAUUUUCAGCAAACUAGUGAGGCCCCCCAGAUGUGCAUUGACAUUUUCCCGUCCGGCUUCUGCGAGGUCAAUCCACCACAGCCGCAGCUCCAAAGGGAUUUUGUUGAUUAUCGUGCUCAUGUGAGACCUCCCAGGUGUGUGUUGACCCUUUUUUGUCUUGCUUCCCCGAGAUCAUUCCACUACAGUCGCAGCUCCAAGGAAAUUUUGUUCAUUAUCAUGCUCAUUCUGCACAUUUAUUAGGGCGAAUUAGUAUUCUCAAAACAUUAAAACUGACAUUUUAAAAAAUUAUUUCAAAACUAGGACCGGCUUUGCGAAUAUGGCCUUUCGACACUUCGGCGAUAAGGUUUUUCUUAUUUUAUGAAAUUUAUUUUUAAAACUAGGACUGACUUUGCGAAUAUGGCCUUUCGACACUUCGGCGAGAAGGUUUUUCAGUUUGUGCUUGCAUACCAAUCAGAAUGAAAUUCAGGGGUGGCCAUUUGCGCAAGAUCAGCCUUCCGGCGUCUCUUGUUGCAACAUUCAGCUAUUGUCACAAUACUGGCGCCAUACGACUUAUUUAAAACUCGGGCAAUUAUGACAGUUUUGAAAAAGGGGUUUGACCCGGCCAAAAUAAUUCAUCAAAACUCAUAGACGUCAUUGAAAACCUCCAAAAUUUGGUGCCUUUCCUGUUUUUUUUUGUUUUUGUUGUGGUUUUAUUUUGAAAAAUCUGGUGGCAUUUCGGCGCUAUUUGAGCGUUGGUUUCAAAGGUGAUUACCCUAGCACUGCAAUUUUGCUCAAUUUAUUCCCUUUGUUUACAGGCUAGUCAACAUGCAAAUCUAAGGAAAAUAAAUGCGCAAGUAGCACGUAAAAAUGCAUCAGGAUGGUCUUAUUUCAGGGCACCUGUCCUAGACGGACCCAACCCUUGUGUUGUGUCCCCUAAGUUAAAAUGCAUGAUGCAGAUAAACGUUCCUACUAGGGAUCUGGUAUGAGAUUUAAUAUACUAAGUGUAGGACCUCGGUAAAGGGUCUAGACUGUGUACCCGAGCGGAACAAAUCGAGUCGAGAAGGGGGCUACGUACCGGAAACCAAAAGGCCCUCCGGCUAAGUAACUUGUCCGGCCUCUUUCUUAUUUUAGGGUAAGAAACAAACAGAAUAGGGAGUCUCAACCAGUAAGCACAUCCCCGGAGGUGAGAAGUGAAGGAUUUCAUAGCAGUUUAUAUAUACAGUUCAGAUAAUAUCAAAGCGGUAAAACAUGUGGCAUUAAGCACUGAACAGGUAAGCAAAUAAGAAGAAGCCAAAUAUAACAGUUAUUUUAAGCUCAAAUUCUUGAACCCUGAACCAGAGACUCUGGGUUCUUGUCCCCAGCAGAGUCACCUGAGCUGUCACACCUCCUUUUUGGCUUACACGCGGUUACACCGAAAGAUGACACGUUUAUAAGAGUUUUUCCAAUUAAAGUACAUUAUUCGAUAUGAGAUUAAAUAUUUAUUUCAAGAGUCGCCACUUGGGAUAGGUUUGGCUUUUGGUGUCCCAAGUCACAUGUUUAUUUUAAAAACCCAAAUCGAGGAAAUUUCGACUACCCAAUUGGAGUCUACGAACCAGAAAUUCUUGAGUAAGGAAUUCUGUUGACCCGAGGGAAGUUAGGCUAACUCGGAUCCCGUGGUUCUAGCACAGUCGCUUAACUUAUUAUAAGUGGCUAGAGACUUGAUUCGCUAUACCUGUUUAAUGAGGCAAGGUGUUAGGAACCCCCGGAUCCCGUCGUUCUAGCACGGUCGCUCAAACUUAUUAGACUGGAUAGAGACUUGAUUUGCUACACCUGUUUAAACCUAUAAUGAAAUUUUAGAUUAUUAACCGUUUUAGCAUUCCUUUAGAAAAUUUGCAAUGUUAUUAAUACGUCGCGAAUCACGUCACAUAAAUGUGCAUGCAAUUCUAGACAUAUUCUAACUCUAUUGAGAUGUGGAUAAGGGUCACAUAAAUGCGCACCCAUAUUUAGGAAGGUAUUUUAUUAAUAACUUCGCGCCUAUAACAACUACGUCUUCAAAAUUCAUGGGAAGGCCGUGAAAUUCGCUAAACGACCCUUCAUAUUUUUCUAUGUGUUUUAAUGAAUGCAAGAGACAUCGCAGGGUAUUUGAUUGGAUUAACGCGGCUCUCUUCAUUUUAUAAGGACAUUCUAACGCAUACUAAGUUCUCUAUUAUUGCUGGUGUUUAAAUGCAGUAAUCAUUUAUGCAUAGACUGUGUAUUUUGGGAAAAUAAUACUUGCAUCUUAGCCUCAUUCAUGGCUGAUUAUACACAUUGGAUUUUUAGUUUUGGCCAGUCUAGGAACACACAUUGUUUAUGCUGCGACUGUCAGCUAUUGGGCCUCGUUCGUGACUGGCUUGGGCCUUUUACUCAGCCCAAAAACAUGUAGUGUUACAAUACCCUUGGUGCAUACUGGGCCUCUCAAUUGGGCCCAGGGUUGAUUUGGACAAAAGAGUCCAUUAUGAACAAUUCUCAAUAUGUUUCUUUGGAUUGAAAUUAUACACAAAAUUAACUAUCUACACAUUCACAAAGAAGAUACUAACAAUCAUUUUAUAUCAAAUUUCAGUAUUAGAUCUGAACUAAAUGAUUCAUAUACUCGUCAGUCAGAGUAUACGAAUUCAGUUUCCAAAAUUCAAUUGUGAUUCUGAUUACAACAUGUUAAAUAGAUCUGAAACAAAUCAUUGCUAAAUGUACUGAAACUUAAAUGAAUUAAAAUGACACACAAUGUUUGGAUUAUAAGUAAUUACUAUGCUAACAUUUCCUAAAUCCCUUAUUUCUAAACAAAGCAGGAAAUAAACACCUAAAACAACAACAUCACUAGCUAACCAUACUAUCAGUUAUACAUACCAAAAUAGUAGUUCGAAUGUCCAGAUAUUACAAGAUAAAUUAGUCCCUAAUGUUCAGUUAUUACAAAAUGAACUAGUUUAAAUGUUUAAUUACAACAAGGUGAGUGUAUUAAAACUAAAGGAGGUGAAAACAGGGUGAGGAUUUAAAACAAAAAAAAAA